Molecule: transfer RNA, 69 nt
Filed under: Scinax arduous
Lineage: Eukaryota; Metazoa; Chordata; Amphibia; Anura; Hylidae
Description: tRNA-Val
Rfam family: tRNA
About the family: Transfer RNA (tRNA) molecules are approximately 80 nucleotides in length. Their secondary structure includes four short double-helical elements and three loops (D, anti-codon, and T loops). Further hydrogen bonds mediate the characteristic L-shaped molecular structure. tRNAs have two regions of fundamental functional importance: the anti-codon, which is responsible for specific mRNA codon recognition, and the 3' end, to which the tRNAs corresponding amino acid is attached (by aminoacyl-tRNA synthetases). tRNAs cope with the degeneracy of the genetic code in two manners: having more than one tRNA (with a specific anti-codon) for a particular amino acid; and 'wobble' base-pairing, i.e. permitting non-standard base-pairing at the 3rd anti-codon position.
Source: RNAcentral
CAAAAUGUAGCUUAAUCAAAGCAUCUCGCUUACACCGAGGAAAUUCCCGUUGGACCCGGGCCAUUUCGA